Molecule: ribosomal RNA, 118 nt
Organism: Chrysemys picta bellii (western painted turtle)
Lineage: Eukaryota; Metazoa; Chordata; Testudines; Emydidae
Source: Ensembl
GCCUGCAGUUAGACUGCCUUAUUCUGUGAUCCUAUUCGAUUUCACUAACUAAGCAGGGUUAGUUCACGUCAGUGUUUGGAUGGAAGACUUCCAAAGAAAAUACCUGAUGCUGCAUAAA